RNAcentral lists this ribosomal RNA (469 nucleotides) under uncultured bacterium. RNAcentral's name for it is "partial 16S ribosomal RNA". It matches the Rfam family "Bacterial small subunit ribosomal RNA", at positions 28 to 506 of the family's 1533-position model. The record is from RNAcentral.
GACGAACGCUGGCGGCGUGCUUAACACAUGCAAGUCGAACGCAGAAGCACCAGGUUGCUGGCGUGGAUGAGUGGCGAACGGGUGAGUAAAACGUGAGUAACCUGCACUUGACUCUGGGAUAAGACCGGGAAACUGGGUCUCAUACAGGAUGCAACAUGUCACAGCACGGUGGUGUGUGGAAAGGGUUGACUGGUCUUGGAUGGGCACACGGCCUAUCAGCUCGUUGGUGAGGUAAUGGCGCACCAAGGCGCCGACGGGUAGCCGGCCUGAGAGGGUGACCGCCCACCCUGCGACUGCGACACGGCCCAGACGCCUACGGGAGGCAGCAGUCGGGAAUAUUGCACAAUGGGCGCAAGCCUGAUGCAGCGACGCCGCGUGCGGGAUGCCGGCCUUCGGGUUGUAAACCUCUUUCUGCGUGGAAGAAGCCACCAGGGACGUUACCUGCAGAAGAGGCGCCGGCUACCUCCGU